Molecule: long non-coding RNA, 469 nt
Organism: Brienomyrus brachyistius
Lineage: Eukaryota; Metazoa; Chordata; Actinopteri; Osteoglossiformes; Mormyridae
Exons: 3
Source: RefSeq, a predicted model, not a curated record
GCUUCCUGCCGUCAGGCUUAGGUCUGUCUGUGCUUCCUGCCGUCAGGCUUAGGUCUGUCUGUGCUUCCUGCCGUCAGGCUUAGGCCUCUCUGUACUUCCUGCCGUCAGGCUUAGGUCUGUCUGUGCUUCCUGCCGUCAGGCUUAGGCCAACUGUAUUUCUCUGUAAUCUUUCUGCACAGCGUCUCUCCCCUAAAUACUCCUGAUUUCUUGAGUCAGCCUGUGAGCGGUAAGAUACUCAUAGUCUGGGGAACGUGAGGGUGGGAUUUGACAGCUGAACCCCCCCCGCCCCAUUCUGAAUGUAUCCCUGGUGGAUGGAACUGACACUCUGCUGGUGCUGUGCUGGAUCCAGGCCCGCCAGCCUCACGUCAGCCCAGAUGGGAGCCCGUGUCACAGUCAGGCAGCAUGCGUCUGUGAGCAAGGGUGAUGUGAUUCCUGCCCCCCUUCCCCCACAGGAUCAUCCGGGGGGGGG